Molecule: non-coding RNA, 871 nt
Organism: Nerophis lumbriciformis (worm pipefish)
Lineage: Eukaryota; Metazoa; Chordata; Actinopteri; Syngnathiformes; Syngnathidae
Source: the annotation of a RefSeq genome assembly
ACAUGAAGCGUGCAUUGGUGUGUGUGCUGAUGGCUGCCUGGAGCCUCGAAUGUAGCAGCCAGACUGUGCACCAGCCAGCAGAGAAUGUGUACGCCAUGAAAGGCGACUCAGUUACGCUGGACUGCAGCUAUGAAGAUUCUGGAAGCAACGACUACAUCUUCUGGUACAAACAGGACGGGCAGGCGGCACCAAAGUUCAUCCUGAGCCUCUCCAUAAGGAGUCAGGGCAAGACUGAGAGCAGCUUUGAAAAGAGGUUCAGCUGCAGCAUCAACGAUACCGCCAAGCGAGCUCCUCUGAAGAUCCAAGACGUGCAGCUGAGCGACUCUGCAGUCUUCUACUGCGCCAUCCAGACCACAAUGACUGACAUCACUGCUGCACCCGCACAAAAACCUCUCUAGGCUCCUCAUCCCACUGUGGCAGUUUGAGAGCUGGUUCUGAGGAGGUUUUCACAGCUUUUGUCCUUGUCAGGAAAUCACGAGGGUGGCGAACUGGAGAUGUUUUUUAUUUACAUACCUUAUAUUCCAGACCGUGUCUCUAACACGGCAGUAAACAGCUGAUAAAACACAACAGAAGUCAUCGUCAUGAACCCACUAGCUGCAGAAGUUAGCUCUCCAUCAGCUUAACAGACUCAAUCAGUCCACGGUGGUGUUUUAGUGAAUUUAUUGAGGAAUUUGUGAAACUGAAACAAUGCAAAUAGGAUGCCACUGUAAGUUAAUAACACUAACACAAACACCUGUAAAUGUGUAGGCAUACUAGCUAAUGCUAACAACGCUAGAUUCAUUACAUUACGUAUGAAUAAGCAUGAAAACACUUCUACAGACAUCACACGUGGGACGGUUCAAAAAGUAAGAAUUGUUUCAGUUAAACUGUC